RNAcentral lists this non-coding RNA (167 nucleotides) under bovine gut metagenome. Its description in RNAcentral is "Lysine riboswitch". It matches the Rfam family "Lysine riboswitch aptamer". From Rfam's summary of the family: Riboswitches are metabolite binding domains within certain messenger RNAs that serve as precision sensors for their corresponding targets. Allosteric rearrangement of mRNA structure is mediated by ligand binding, and this results in modulation of gene expression. The record is from RNAcentral.
GAUAGAGGCGCGGUUAUCAUCAGUAGCUCCGUUCAGCCGCCGGGAAGCGGGGGAGCGAAAGGGAUCGCCGCCGAAGGGUAUCCGCAUCCCGUGCGGAUAUGCCUGGGCCGUCGGAGAAGAUCCGCCGGACUGUCGCAAGGGCUUUUGCCCGCGCGGAGAGCUGUCUG